GUGCCAGCCGCCGCGGUAAUACCAGCAGCCCGAGUGAUGGCCACUCUUAUUGGGCCUAAAGCGUCCGUAGCUGGCCGCGCAAGUCCGUCGGGAAAUCCAUCAGCCCAACUGAUGGGCGUCCGGCGGAAACCACUCGGCUUGGGGCCGGAGGACUCGAGGGGUACGUCUGGGGUAGGAGUGAAAUCCCGUAAUCCUGGACGGACCGCCGAUGGCGAAAGCACCUCGAGAGGACGGACCCGACAGUGAGGGACGAAAGCCAGGGUCUCCAACCGGAUUAGAUACCCUGGUAGUCC
Molecule: ribosomal RNA, 293 nt
Filed under: uncultured bacterium
Lineage: Bacteria
Description: partial 16S ribosomal RNA
Rfam family: Archaeal small subunit ribosomal RNA
Source: RNAcentral